Long non-coding RNA from Equus asinus (donkey), 2370 nucleotides. NCBI's taxonomy places the organism in Eukaryota, Metazoa, Chordata, Mammalia, Perissodactyla, Equidae. The record is from Ensembl.
UACUUUUAUACAAACUGACAUUGGUCUACUAUACAUUUUUAAAAGCCAUUUUACUGGUUUGGCAUGCGGUAUGGAAAUUCUAAGAGAGAAAGUUUUAAGGCAAUGAAUCACAGAUUUAAGUUCAUGGAAUUUAUGGUAACUUUUAUAUCUGUUUAUAUACAUUUCCCCCUUUGUUAAUUGAACAAUUAACAGCAGCGCACUCUGGGACCCCCAGCUAUUCUCCCUCCCUCUUUCUGAAAUCUAAGCUUUGUGGUUUUUUAAAUUAAAAAACAGAAUUCGACAGGUAUUGAUAAAACAAAAUUCUCACUAAAAUAAUUUCAAAUGUGCUUUAAAGUCCUGAAGAUCUUGAAGUGUUUUAUGUAUUUAAAACUGGAAUUGUUUAAAAACAAUGCUCUUUCCACAAUUAAUCAUUUAAAAUUGGGACAUAUUUUCAUUCAAUUUCAGAUAUUUGACUCAAAGGAAUCUGCCAAGAAAUCACAUUUUUCAGAAGCUUAAGUGAAUCUUUCCUAAGUCAGUAAUAAUUAAGAAUUGUGAUAAUGUCUAAACUAACAGAAGUAGAAAAAUUUUAAUGCUCAAAACAAAUUAGUCAACCAAGUGUGGCAUGGUUAAGGUUCAGAUCGUUUUAAAAAGAUGUGUCCAAUAAUGCCCACAAAAUAAUUGAAAGCCACUUCAACCCUGCUACUCAAACAGCUGUUUUAUCAAGGAUGUGCGUGUGCGUAGCACAUGCACACACGCACACGCACAUACAGUACAGAAACACAGACAGAUGCACGUCUGCUAUGAAAGACCAAGGCAAGGGGGAUGGUGGCAAGCUGCCUAAAGAUUCUGACAAUCGCUAUUUGUCCACAGACAGCAUGUCAAUGUUGGCAUGGGUGGGAGAGUGAGGGUGGGCAAAGGAAAAAAAGAGAUGAAAUGACUAUGCUUUUUUUCUUUUUAAACUUAGAAGAUAAAGAUGCAGUGCAUGACUCUAUUAAUAAUUACUAUAGAUCAUGAAAGUCUGAUUGACUAAUAUUGGCCAUGAGACCAACAGAGUGAUAGCAACUACUAAUGCAACAUUGUGGAACAUCAACAACUGAAGGAAACAAACUCCUUAGAGUGGAAUGAACUAAAAUAAAAAGACAACUGAAUGGUUAGCUUCUCUUGUGGAGACAUGACCAAAGCCACUAGACAGACAUUUCUUUCUCCCUAUUACCUGUUCUUCCCUUAGGUUGGUAUAAUGCCGGACACUGAGGGAAACUAACCCUCUCCAUUACUGGGCUGAAGAAAGUGGAGGGAUGGGUUUUCAACUGGAUCAUUCAAAGAGUUUGUAAUUCAGCAUCAUACACAAAGUUAUUGAUCAGAAUUUUGAGACCACUAACGACAGAAAAAAAAAGAAACAAUUCAUUUUCCCUUAGGUAUCUGAAUUAAUAGAAAUAUCUCCUAUUACAAUGUGAAAUAAGAGGCAACUCCCCACAAUUUAAGUAAUUUCUAUUCCAAUCUGAAUUUAGACACAAAUUGUACUAUUAGAUAUUAGCCUAAGUUAAUAUGGCAAUGAGAGUUAAAGUGUUUACUCACCACAAUACCAGAUUCAUUUAAAAACUCAACUAUUUCCUGUUUUAACUGACAAGGAAUUUUUUUUAUUGCCAAUUGUUUAGUGACUGUAACUCAGCCAUGUAUGUGUGGAAUACAUGCGUAGGGGAGGACUACAGAACUCACCUGUCACUCACACACACUUGUCUAUAAAUACAUAUAUACAACACACACAUAUACAUAUCAACACCAACUUGUUUUUCAAAAUUCAAGUCAACAAUUUAGUGGCAGAGAGAUGCUGUAAAAACAGGUAUUAUUUUUAGAUGCCACGCCGUCAUGAGAACCAUUAACUUUAUCAUACAACUGCAGACACAGCCAUCUUGAAUUCUACCUGGAUUAAAGUAGGUCAUUUUGUUACCACCGCAAGGUUUAACAUGACCAUUUGAUACACAAAGGUGGUCCUUCAUCAACUCUGAGAACUCUGAGAACCUUACGUUGUAACAUAAAAAUCCAGUCUGGAAAACUGGUGAUUGUUAUGCCCCUUCUUUAUGUUUUCUGUUAAACCUGCUAAACCUCUGAAUCAGCUAAGAAAUAUUUCCACAGCGUCAGGUAUUACCUGAGGAACAUAAUACCUUCUCUGAUGAGGAUUUUGGAACAUAAGUAGAGCCACUUUUCCUUCCCUCCACACCUCACUCAUCUCCUGAAAAACAGUUUUCAGUAUAUUUACAUGUUCCAUUAUUAAUAAGAAUAGAUCAGACUACUCCAUGAAUUCUAAAAAAAAAAAAAAAAAAAAAAAAAAGAUUUUCCUAUGUCAUGCUUGUCUUUAAAAGGUAAAGAAAAAAUAAACAAGAUAGCCAGGCU